UACGAAGGGUGCAAGCGUUACUCGGAAUUACUGGGCGUAAAGCGUGCGUAGGUGGUUUGUUAAGUCUGCUGUGAAAGCCCCGGGCUCAACCUGGGAAUGGCAGUGGAUACUGGCAAGCUAGAGUGCGGUAGAGGGUAGUGGAAUUCCCGGUGUAGCGGUGAAAUGCGUAGAGAUCGGGAGGAACACCCGUGGCGAAGGCGGCCAUCUGGACCAGCACUGACGCUGAGGCACGAAAGCGUGGGGAGCAAACAGG
Molecule: ribosomal RNA, 253 nt
Filed under: uncultured bacterium
Lineage: Bacteria
Description: partial 16S ribosomal RNA
Rfam family: Bacterial small subunit ribosomal RNA
Source: RNAcentral